RNAcentral lists this ribosomal RNA (492 nucleotides) under uncultured bacterium. RNAcentral's name for it is "partial 16S ribosomal RNA". It matches the Rfam family "Bacterial small subunit ribosomal RNA", at positions 29 to 507 of the family's 1533-position model. The record is from RNAcentral.
AGUGAACGCUGGCGGUAGGCCUAACACAUGCAAGUCGAACGGCAGCACAGUAAGAGCUUGCUCUUACGGGUGGCGAGUGGCGGACGGGUGAUGAAUACAUCGGAAUCUACUUUUUCGUGGAGGAUAACGUAGGGAAACUUACGCUAAUACCGCAUACGACCUACGGGUGAAAGCAGGGGAUCUUCGGACCUUGCGCGAUUGAAUGAGCCGAUGUCGGAUUAGCUAGUUGGCGGGGUAAAGGCCCACCAAGGCGACGAUCCGUAGCUGGUCUGAGAGGAUGAUCAGCCACACUGGAACUGAGACACGGUCCAGACUCCUACGGGAGGCAGCAGUGGGGAAUAUUGGACAAUGGGCGCAAGCCUGAUCCAGCCAUACCGCGUGGGUGAAGAAGGCCUUCGGGUUGUAAAGCCCUGUUGUUGGGAAAGAAAAGCAGCAGGUUAAUACCCCGCUGUUCUGACGGUACCCAAAGAAUAAGCACCGGCUAACUUCGUG